Molecule: ribosomal RNA, 1301 nt
Filed under: Bacillus sp. (in: firmicutes)
Lineage: Bacteria; Bacillati; Bacillota; Bacilli; Caryophanales; Bacillaceae
Description: partial 16S ribosomal RNA
Rfam family: Bacterial small subunit ribosomal RNA
Source: RNAcentral
UGCUCCCAGUCAGUCAGCGGCGGACGGGUGAGUAACACGUGGGUAACCUGCCUGUAAGACUGGGAUAACUCCGGGAAACCGGGGCUAAUACCGGAUAACUCAUUUCCUCGCAUGAGGAAAUGUUGAAAGGUGGCUUUUAGCUAUCACUUACAGAUGGACCCGCGGCGCAUUAGCUAGUUGGUGAGGUAACGGCUCACCAAGGCGACGAUGCGUAGCCCACCCCCCGAGGAGGGUGAUUCGCCCACACGGGGGAAUGAGAACACCCCCCCCAGACUCCUAGCGGGAGGCAGCAGUAGGGAAUCUCUCCACAAAGGGAAGAAAGUCUGACGGAACAACCCCCGCGUGAGUAAAAAAGGUUUUCGGAUCGUAAAACUCUGUUGUUAGGGAAGAACAAGUACCGUUCGAAUAGGGCGGUACCUUGACGGUACCUAACCAGAAAGCCACGGCUAACUACGUGCCAGCAGCCGCGGUAAUACGUAGGUGGCAAGCGUUGUCCGGAAUUAUUGGGCGUAAAGCGCGCGCAGGUGGUUCCUUAAGUCUGAUGUGAAAGCCCACGGCUCAACCGUGGAGGGUCAUUGGAAACUGGGGGACUUGAGUGCAGAAGAGGAAAGUGGAAUUCCAAGUGUAGCGGUGAAAUGCGUAGAUAUUUGGAGGAACACCAGUGGCGAAGGCGACUUUCUGGUCUGUAACUGACACUGAGGCGCGAAAGCGUGGGGAGCAAACAGGAUUAGAUACCCUGGUAGUCCACGCCGUAAACGAUGAGUGCUAAGUGGUUUAGGGGGUUUCCGCCCCUUAGUGCUGCAGCUAACGCAUUAAGCACUCCGCCUGGGGGAGUACGGUCGCAAGACUGAAACUCAAAGGAAUUGACGGGGGCCCGCACAAGCGGUGGAACCAGGUGGUUUAAUUCGAAGCAACGCGAAGAACCUUACCAGGUCUUGACAUCCUCUGACAACCCUAGAGAAUAGGGCUUUCCCCUUCGGGGGACAGAAUGACAGGUGGUGGCAAGGGUUGUCCUCCAGCUCCUGUCUGGGAAGAUGUUGGGGUUAAGUCCCGCAACCAAGCGCAACCCCUUGAUCUUAGUUGCCAGCCAUUCAGUUGGGGCACUCUAAGAAUAAAGGCCGGUGACAAACCAGAGAAAAGGGGGGGAUGUGAAGAAAAAAAAAAAAAGGCCCCUUAUGACCUGGGCUACACACGUGCUACAAUGGACGGUACAAAGGGCAGCAAGACCGCGAGGUUUAGCCAAUCCCAUAAAACCGUUCUCAGUUCGGAUUGUAGGCUGCAACUCGCCUACAUGAAGCUGG